This 256-nucleotide ribosomal RNA is filed under the name uncultured bacterium. RNAcentral's name for it is "partial 16S ribosomal RNA". It matches the Rfam family "Bacterial small subunit ribosomal RNA", at positions 526 to 779 of the family's 1533-position model. The record is from RNAcentral.
CGUAGGUGGCAAGCGUUGUCCGGAAUUAUUGGGCGUAAAGCGCGCGCAGGUCGGUCUUUUAAGUCUGAUGUGAAAGCCCACGGCUCAACCGUGGAGGGUCAUUGGAAACUGGAAGACUUGAGUGCAGAAGAGGAUAGUGGAAUUCCACGUGUAAGCGGUGAAAUGCGUAGAGAUGGUGGAGGAACACCAGUGGCGAAGGCGACUCUCUGGUCUGUAACUGACGCUGAGGCGCGAAAGCGUGGGAGCAAACAGGAUU